RNAcentral lists this ribosomal RNA (380 nucleotides) under uncultured bacterium. RNAcentral's name for it is "bacterial SSU rRNA". It matches the Rfam family "Bacterial small subunit ribosomal RNA", at positions 133 to 507 of the family's 1533-position model. The record is from RNAcentral.
GUAGUGGGGAGUAACGUAGCGAAGUUACGUCUAAUACCGCAUACGAUCCACGGAGUGAAAGCAGGGGACCUUCGGGCCUUGUGCUAUACGAGCGGCCGAUGUCUGAUUAGCUAGUUGGUGGGGUAAAGGCCCACCAAGGCAACGAUCAGUAGCGGGUCUGAGAGGAUGAUCCGCCACACUGGGACUGAGACACGGCCCAGACUCCUACGGGAGGCAGCAGUGGGGAAUUUUGGACAAUGGGCGCAAGCCUGAUCCAGCCAUGCCGCGUGUCUGAAGAAGGCCUUCGGGUUGUAAAGGACUUUUGUCAGGGAGCAAAACCCAGCAGCUAAUAUCUGUUGGGGAUGAGAGUACCUGAAGAAUAAGCACCGGCUAACUACGUG